GGGUAAAAAGUUCAGUGGUUAGAGUGUUUGACUCCCAGGCAAAAGUUCUGGGUUUGAUCCCCAAUGUCCACA
Merluccius polli (Benguela hake) is the source of this 72-nucleotide non-coding RNA. The record is from the annotation of a GenBank genome assembly. NCBI's taxonomy places the organism in Eukaryota, Metazoa, Chordata, Actinopteri, Gadiformes, Merlucciidae.